RNAcentral lists this long non-coding RNA (266 nucleotides) under Moschus moschiferus (Siberian musk deer). Its description in RNAcentral is "lncRNA (ENSMMSG00000016836.1)". Lineage: Eukaryota; Metazoa; Chordata; Mammalia; Artiodactyla; Moschidae. The record is from RNAcentral.
UUUUUUUUUCAAGCUCUGGUUUCCCGGCGACGCUGUCCGGAGUUAACCUGCACGCCUGCGCUCCCUCUCUCCCGGCACCCUGUUAGUUGUUGGGCCCAGAGCGGCCAGCUGUCCUCCAGAAAAAGCAUCCUGAAGAAGACGACCAAUUGUCACAGAUCUUCACAUCAAGUUCCAGAUCUGGCAUCUCUGGAUUUUGUGUCUUCAGUAAAGGAGACCCCAGGAGCACUGAUCAGUCCUUGAAUUCUAGAACUAUGGCCCACGGACGC